CCUACGGGUGGCAGCAGUGAGGAAUAUUGGUCAAUGGGCGCGAGCCUGAACCAGCCAAGUAGCGUGAAGGAUGACUGCCCUACGGGUUGUAAACUUCGUUUAUAAAGGAAUAAAGUGAGGCACGUGUGCCUUUUUGUAUGUACUUUAUUAAUAAGGAUCGGCUAACUCCGUUCCAGCAGCCGCGGUAAUACGGAGGAUCCGAGCGUUAUCCGGAUUUGUUGGGUUGAAAGGGAGCGGAGAUGGGUUGUUAAGUCAGGUGUGAAAGUUUGCGGGUCAACCGUAAAAUAGCAAUUGAUACUGGCAGCCUUGAGUACAGUUGAGGUACGCGGAAUUCGUGGUGUAGCGGUGAAAUGCUUAGAUAUAACGAAGAACUCCGAUUGCGAAGGCAGCCUACUAACCUGCCACUGACAUUGAUGCUCGAAAGUGUGGGUAUCAAACAGGAUUAGAUACCCUGGUAGUC
This 460-nucleotide ribosomal RNA is filed under the name uncultured bacterium. RNAcentral describes it as "partial 16S ribosomal RNA". It matches the Rfam family "Bacterial small subunit ribosomal RNA", at positions 338 to 795 of the family's 1533-position model. The record is from RNAcentral.